AUGUCACACAGAUGAUAAAGAGCAAGGAUAGACCUCUUCAUUUCAUGUUUGAGGCAAUUCUCUAAGACAGCUGAUUUCUCCAGAGCUGGUAGGUAAGUAUCUACCUCCCAGAAUGCAAUGUGUCCAGAGAUUAUAAUAAGUGAAAUAUUGGAUUGCCAAUAUUCUUUUCUCUUGUCCUUCUACGCUUGGAUUCUUUUUUUAAGUUUAUUCCCCACUGUAGGAGACAGACUUGCUCACGUGAUAGAUCCGGCCAUGAUAUUGUCCCUAAGAGAACGAGAUGCUCUUUGCAGAAGACAUAGAAGAUUCCUGAAACUGGGAAAGGGGCCUAGAAACCUGGAGAAGAGUGAAGAAGGCAUUUUCCCUCCCCUGCUUAGGCAUCUGCCACCAUAUUCAAUACUUUCUCCAGGGUUCUCAGGUAUCAUCUUUCAGUUUAGUUGGAUGGAACAUUAGUCUGGAAAUUUUACUUUCAAUUGAACUCGCUCGUUGAACUGCCUCCAUCUUCAAAGGAUCCCAUUAGGGUAAUUAUAGCUAUGGCUACAAAGCAUGAUUUGCACUCAAUUUCAGCUUUAGGUAAUUCAGUUAAGAUGUUUUAUGGUUUCACUAUUUGGAGGUGUAUAAACCCAUCACUUUCAUACACUUCCCAUGAGUUGUUUCAGAAUCCCAAGUCAAAGUAAGAGUUCUCUUGGUGUUUCAAGUAAAAUACCCUCUGAGCCAUCUCUGCCCUGGGAUCACUUUCUUCGUUUUCUUACCUCUAUCUUCUUUAACUCUUAAGCAGCUACUUAGGUAGCCUAGUUCAUGCUCUCUUUCCCCAAAAGUUUAGACCUCAGCUUGUGGACCAGGACUGUAUUGUUUCACAUCACAUGCCUCCCUCAGAGUAGGUGUUUGCAUGAUGAAUGGAUAGAUGGGUGAAUGAAUCCUCAAAGUAUGACUUGUAUUUUUUCCUUUUUAAAAAGCCAGUAUUUUAUUAUAUCAAUACUGAAUGAUUGUGUUCCAUUGAGAGUAAGAAACCCAGAAUUUUUCCAAGAAGGUGGAGAUGCUUUUAAUGUAUCUUUGCUGAUUGUUGCCCCAUCCUCAUCUCUGCAUGAGGAAUAAUUGUGUCAUCCUUUUGGAGCACAUUUUCCUCCGGCCUUUCAUUUGUAUUUAUGUAUACAUCCACACAGAGAACCGCCGACUUGUGAGCAGAUUGCCUUGCUGUAUGUUUUCCACAAAGCAGUCUGCCGAGCCUGCUGACAUAUAGAAGUCCCCUUUCCCCCUUUCUUUAGCUAAUACAAACUAUUAUCAUGCUAACUGGAUUUGCCACCUCUCAUCUGAACCAAAUGAAAUUGUGUGUGGUAUACAUGUAUAUGUGUUUGGUGUAUGGAGACACCAGAUGCUAAUCACGGAUGCUAUUUCUCAAGCACUGUUGAUCUUAUUGUUUUUGUGACAGGUUUCCCAUUGGCUUGGAAUUUGUCAAUUAGUUUUGCUGGCUGGACAGAAAGCCACACGGAUCCUCUU
RNAcentral lists this long non-coding RNA (1494 nucleotides) under Rattus norvegicus (Norway rat). Its description in RNAcentral is "partial Pvt1". Lineage: Eukaryota; Metazoa; Chordata; Mammalia; Rodentia; Muridae. The record is from RNAcentral.